This 772-nucleotide long non-coding RNA is filed under the name Ailuropoda melanoleuca (giant panda). Its description in RNAcentral is "lncRNA (ENSAMEG00000031223.1)". The record is from RNAcentral. Lineage: Eukaryota; Metazoa; Chordata; Mammalia; Carnivora; Ursidae.
GGGUACUUGCCUUCAUCAGAGCCUCUGGGGGGGAAGAAGUCGAGGCCGUAAGUUCUGUGAGUUUUCCCUGCCCCCAGACAGAGAAUGAGAGGCAGACACCACCACAGCUCUGAGCAGGGGAGCUAAAGCGCCCCUCCUGCAGCCAGGAGCCCCGCGGCCGUCUGGAGGGCUAGCGGUGAGGCCAUGCGUUGGACUCAGGACCGGGAGAGAGGCUGGUGCCAGAAGGAGAGUGCUUGCUGCCCGAGGAUCCAGGAGAGGUGUGGAGGGGCACAUGCUGGGAGCGACUCGGGGUUGCUGGGCCAGACCUCUCCCAGCACGGCCAGGGCCCUGUGUCCCACCCCCACCGGGGACCCCCCUCUUCUUAGCACCCUGUGCUCGCAGCAGCAGCUCCAGUAACUUCCACCCAAGAUUCUGCACACCACAGAAGGGACCUCAGUUCGGAACCCACCCAUUGACCUGAUUCUUCAGUGCAAUGUAGCCCAUCGCAUUCAAUACAGAAUGUGGACCCAAGUGAGGUUUGGGAAGGAACAGAAUGCUGGUCAGGAGCUUGGGUCCGAGCGUAGACACUUCUGGAGAGAAUCAGCAGCAAGGCCAAGUGACGCCCUCCCCCGACCGGCCCCUCCCUUGCUCAUCGCAGCGGACAUCAAGGCCAGACAGCUGCAGACAUUAAGGCCAGCACCUGCCCCUCCUCUGAUUUUAAAUUUUCCAAUAGUCCCAUAAAAUAAAAAAAAAAAAGUAAGUAAAAUUAAUUUUAAUCAUAUGCUGUAUUUAG